Molecule: ribosomal RNA, 243 nt
Filed under: Echinococcus canadensis
Lineage: Eukaryota; Metazoa; Platyhelminthes; Cestoda; Cyclophyllidea; Taeniidae
Also listed under: 1 other name
Description: partial small subunit ribosomal RNA
Source: RNAcentral
UUCUUGUUAGGGGAAGAUGCAUAGUAAAGGAUGGUCCACCUAUUAUUUCACUCUUGUUAUGUUGGUGUAUAUCUGGUUUGAUAUUAUCGUUUAAUGGUUUGAGUUUGUGUAGUUUUAGUUAAGCCAAGUCUAUGUGCUGCUUAUGGGAGUUUUUGUGUGUUACAUUAAUAAGGGUGUUGUUGUAAUAUGAUAUUAUUUAGGACUUAAUAGUAAUGUUUAAAUUAGUUUGUUGAUGUGAAAUGA